Molecule: ribosomal RNA, 1067 nt
Filed under: Tildeniella torsiva UHER 1998/13D
Lineage: Bacteria; Bacillati; Cyanobacteriota; Cyanophyceae; Oculatellales; Oculatellaceae
Description: bacterial SSU rRNA
Rfam family: Bacterial small subunit ribosomal RNA
Source: RNAcentral
CAAUACCGCGUGAGGGAGGAAGGUCUGUGGAUUGUAAACCUCUUUUGAUAGGGAAGAACACAAUGACGGUACCUAUCGAAUCAGCAUCGGCUAACUCCGUGCCAGCAGCCGCGGUAAUACCAAUGACGGUACCUAUCGAAUCAGCAUCGGCUAACUCCGUGCCAGCAGCCGCGGUAAUACGUCUAUUGUCAAAGCCUGGGGCUUAACCCUGGAGAGGCGGUGGAAACUGGUUGACUUGAGUGCGGUAGGGGCAGAGGGAAUUCCCAGUGUAGCGGUGAAAUGCGUAGAUAUUGGGAAGAACACCGGUGGCGAAAGCGCUCUGCUGGCUUGACCCCUCCACGGGGACGAAAGNCCUAGGGGACCAAAAGGGGUUUAGAUACCCCGGUAGUUCCUAGCCCGUAAACCGAUGGAUCCUGGGUGUUGUGAGGUAUCCGACCCNUCACAGUGCCGGAGCCAACCGCGGUUAAGUAUCCCGCCUGGGGAGUACCGCACGCAAGUGUUGAAACCUCAAAGGAAUUGACGGGGGCCCGCACAAGCGGUGGAGUAUGUGGUUUAAUUUCGAUGCAACGCGAAGANCCUUACCAGGACUUGACAUGUCGCGAAUCUUCUUGAAAGGGAAGAGUGCCUUCGGGAGCGCGAACACAGGUGGUGCAUUGGCUGUCGUCAGCUCGUGUCGUGAGAUGUUGGGUUAAGUCCCGCAACGAGCGCAACCCUCGUCCUUAGUUGCCACAGUUGGGCACUCUGAAGAGACUGCCGGUGACAAACCGGAGGAAGGUGGGGAUGACGUCAAGUCAGCAUGCCCCUUACGUCCUGGGCUACACACGUACAUACAAUGCUACGGACAAAGGGCAGCUAAACAGCGAUGUCAAGCUAAUCCCAUAAACCGUGGCUCAGUUCAGAUUGUAGGCUGCAACUCGCCUACAUGAAGGCGGAAUCGCUAGUAAUCCCAGGUCAGCAUACUGGGGUGAAUUCGUUCCCGGGCCUUGUACACACCGCCCGUCACACCAUGGGAGUUGGCCACGCCCGAAGUCGUUAUCCUAACCUGCAAAGGAAGGAGAUGCCGAAGU